Long non-coding RNA from Suricata suricatta (meerkat), 990 nucleotides. RefSeq lists it as uncharacterized. The record is from RefSeq and is a predicted model, not a curated record. The transcript has 2 exons. Lineage: Eukaryota; Metazoa; Chordata; Mammalia; Carnivora; Herpestidae.
CGGUGGAGAGGUGCGUCUAGAACCGAGGCGUGCGGCCAAUCCGACUGUUCCGUUCCGCUGCCUCGUGCUACCCCUACGGCCUCGAACGCUGACAUUUAAAAGGGUAACAGCCCGGAGGCUGGAAGGGGGCCGCUGCUCCUCUUCGGGAGCGCCUCUUGGUCCCCGUGGCCUCUCCGGGCCUCCAGGCUCGCGGUCAGGCUUGCGGGGCCGCGGCGCACGCCUUCGCUAGGCACUGGCGCUCGUCCUCGUGACAAAAGAAAACUUCAGGCUCGGGUUUCCAGCUUGCAAACAGUUAAGUGACUUCCUGCAAACGCUAGAGUCCCAGCAACCAGCCUUCCAAUCAAAAUCAGGCAUCAUCGGAGGCUCUAGUCAUCUGAAGGCCAAAGGAAGGCUCUGCUUCUGAUUGCAACCACCUGGCUGUCAGCUGACUUCAAGUCUGUUUCCAGAUUCACACCUGUGGGCUUCUCUGCAAGGCUGCCCAGUGACAUGGCAGCCGGCUGCUCCUAGAACAAGCGAACCAAGAGAGCAUGAGAGAAAGCAUUGCAUGGAAGCCACAGUCUUUGCAUAUCAUAAUCUUGGAACUGAUCACUCAUCUCUUCUGCUGUAUUCUAUUUUUUUUAAGUGAGUCACUAAAUCCAUCGAGGGGAACCGAUGCAUCCUCAUUUGCUGGGGACUUUCCUAAGUUAACACUGAAAGUCCUACAUCCUGGGAAUCCCCUCAGUCCAGGGCAGACCACAAUGACUGGUCACCCUGAAUCUAGCUUACACUCAAGGGGAGGGAAUGACAUAGUGUGUGAAUACCAAGAGGAGGGAAUUGGCAAGGGUCACCUUGGAGGCUGGCUGCCACAUCAACCUUUCUUAGAUGUACUUUUCUUCAUUACUGAAAACAAUCAGGUCUGUGAGCCACUUUGUGAAUUAUAAAAUAUAUGUCUCAGUUUUUAAGUGAUAUGAUGAAUCAUACUAAAGUGAAGUGAAUAAAUACAUAAACCAA